AUUCUUUCGCAGUGGCAGUAUAGUAGCCUUUAAGGUUUAUCCGAAGCGUGAUCAUUGCUGGUUGAAAACUUAACCCAAUACCCCGUCAUGACGACUUGAAAUAUAGUCGGAAAUGUCAAUUUUUGACGAUUUCCAAGGACA
Small nuclear RNA from Perca fluviatilis (European perch), 141 nucleotides. RefSeq annotates it as U4 spliceosomal RNA. The record is from RefSeq and is a predicted model, not a curated record. The transcript has a single exon. Lineage: Eukaryota; Metazoa; Chordata; Actinopteri; Perciformes; Percidae.